CCUACGGGGGGCAGCAGUGGGGAAUCUUGCGCAAUGGGCGAAAGCCUGACGCAGCAACGCCGCGUGCGGGAUGACGGCCUUCGGGUUGUAAACCGCUUUCAGCAGGGACGCGGUACCUGCAGAAGAAGCCCCGGCCAACUACGUGCCAGCAGCCGCGGUAAUACGUAGGGGGCGAGCGUUGUCCGGAUUCAUUGGGCGUAAAGCGCUUUAAGGCGGUUCGUUAAGUCGCGUGUGAAAACUCCAGGCUCAACCUGGAGACGCCACGUGAUACUGGCGGACUAGAGUUCGGUAGGGGAUCACGGAAUUCCUGGUGUAGCGGUGAAAUGCGCAGAUAUCAGGAGGAACACCGGUGGCGAAGGCGGUGAUCUGGGCGAACUGACGCUGUAGAGCGAAAGCGUGGGGAGCAACAGGAUUAGAUACCCUUGUAGUC
This 430-nucleotide ribosomal RNA is filed under the name uncultured bacterium. RNAcentral describes it as "partial 16S ribosomal RNA". It matches the Rfam family "Bacterial small subunit ribosomal RNA", at positions 338 to 795 of the family's 1533-position model. The record is from RNAcentral.